This 445-nucleotide long non-coding RNA is filed under the name Ficedula albicollis (Collared flycatcher). RNAcentral's name for it is "lncRNA (ENSFALG00000025392.1)". Lineage: Eukaryota; Metazoa; Chordata; Aves; Passeriformes; Muscicapidae. The record is from RNAcentral.
GGGGGGGGGGGGGGGGGGGGGGGGGGGGGGGGGGGGGGGGGGGGGGGGGGGGGGGGGGGGGGGGGGGGGGGGGGGGGGGGGGGGGGGGGGGGGCCCGCGGGCGGCGGCUGCGGGCGGCCCUCGAGGGUGGGGGGCUCGUCAGAGCCCCUCCGGGGUGCUCCCCGAGCUGGGGGUACCCUCGUGUCCCCUCACGCGGUCUCUGUGUGUGCCCCCCGGCUUGGUGUCCAUUUACGUCCCCUCACACGGGCUCUAGUUACAGAGGGUACCCCCUCCCUUCUGGAUGUGUGUCCCCUCAUUUCCUCUCAGAUCUUGUCUGGGUACUGACGCUGGUGUGUGUCCCCUCCCGUCCCCUCACACUCUCAGUGUGUGUCCCCUCCCGUCCCCUCACACCCUCAGUGAGUGUCCCCUCCUGUCCCCUCACACUCUCAGUGUGUGUCCCCUCCUG